UGUAAGCGUAUACCAAAGUUGUUGCAGUUAAAACGCUCGUAGUCGGAAUUUGGCAGUUCCGGAUGUGUGCACGUCGUGUGCGCACUUCGCGGGGAUUGCUUUUGUGGUCUUGCGUAGGAUGAGGCACUUUUAUUAGUGAACGUCCUCACGCAACCACUUUUUACUGUGAGAAAAUCAGAGUGCUCAAAGCAGGCAUUUGCCGUGAAUGUAUUAGCAUGGAAUAAUAGAAUAGGACUUGGUUCUAUUUUGUUGGUUUGUUGGGACUGAGUAAUGAUUAAGAGGGACAGUUGGGGGCAUUUGUAUUUCGGUGCUAGAGGUGAAAUUCUUGGAUCUGCGAAAGACGAACAACUGCGAAAGCAUUUGCCAAGAGUGUUUUCAUUAA
This 382-nucleotide ribosomal RNA is filed under the name uncultured eukaryote. Its description in RNAcentral is "partial 18S ribosomal RNA". It matches the Rfam family "Eukaryotic small subunit ribosomal RNA", at positions 592 to 976 of the family's 1831-position model. The record is from RNAcentral.